UCGAGAAUUUUUCACAAUGGGCGAAAGCCUGAUGGAGCGACGCCGCGUGGGGGAUGAAUGGCUUCGGCCCGUAAACCCCUGUCAUUCGGGAUCAAUGCGUUUGACCUAACACGUCAGACGUUGAUAGUACCGGAAGAGGAAGGGACGGCUAACUCUGUGCCAGCAGCCGCGGUAAUACAGAGGUCCCAAGCGUUGUUCGGAUUUACUGGGCGUAAAGGGUGCGUAGGCGGUCGGAUAAGUUUGAUGUGAAAGCUCGGAGCCUAACUCCGAAACGGCAUUGAAUACUAUCUGGCUAGAGGUUGGGAUGGGGGACUGGAAUUCUCGGUGUAGCAGUGAAAUGCGUAGAUAUCGAGAGGAACACCAGUGGCGAAGGCGAGUCCCUGGACCAAUCCUGACGCUGAGGCACGAAAGCCAGGGGAGCAAACGGG
RNAcentral lists this ribosomal RNA (428 nucleotides) under uncultured bacterium. RNAcentral describes it as "bacterial SSU rRNA". It matches the Rfam family "Bacterial small subunit ribosomal RNA", at positions 355 to 776 of the family's 1533-position model. The record is from RNAcentral.